AGGAAUACAACAGUGGGCAUAGGGACCACAUCUUCAUUAUUCUUUCACCAGCAUUUAAGCUGCAUCUAUUAGUACUGUGAAUAAGAGAAGCUGCACGCCUUCAUCAGCCUGUUGGAAACUGUUUUUAUACACACCAGCUGACUUGGGAUGACUGCCAGCAGCUCUUGACCACUCUGUUUAUGGGCACUGCUAUAUAAACCUGCCAGUGUUAUUAAUGCAUCUCAUGGUGAUUCCUUGGUGUUACUAAAUAUGGAAGAGCAGAGGAGCAGCGCCUUAAAAGCAGAAAAGAGUAUUGCUGUCAAGGGAGGAAAGUACUGCCCCCUUCCCUUUUCUUCUUCAUGUUUUAGGUCUUCACGUAGGAGUCUCUG
Mesocricetus auratus (golden hamster) is the source of this 368-nucleotide long non-coding RNA. RefSeq lists it as uncharacterized. The record is from RefSeq and is a predicted model, not a curated record. The transcript has 3 exons. Lineage: Eukaryota; Metazoa; Chordata; Mammalia; Rodentia; Cricetidae.